Molecule: non-coding RNA, 49 nt
Filed under: Elusimicrobiota bacterium
Lineage: Bacteria; Pseudomonadati; Elusimicrobiota
Description: Elusimicrobia bacterium Li+-I sequence
Rfam family: nhaA-I RNA
About the family: Acidobacteria, Alphaproteobacteria, Betaproteobacteria and Gammaproteobacteria, Verrucomicrobia, cand. division NC10. Downstream gene
Source: RNAcentral
GGGUCCGGCGCGCAGGCUCCGGAGGUAUGGGAUGGUCGGGCCGCCAUCA